CGACACGUGGCGUAACCGGCAACCGCCCCCGGCUUAGACCCGGGCGUCCCGCGAGGGUUUUGGGGGUUCGAUUCCCCCCGUGUCGA
Molecule: transfer RNA, 86 nt
Filed under: Polyangiaceae bacterium
Lineage: Bacteria; Pseudomonadati; Myxococcota; Polyangiales; Polyangiaceae
Description: tRNA-Leu
Rfam family: tRNA
About the family: Transfer RNA (tRNA) molecules are approximately 80 nucleotides in length. Their secondary structure includes four short double-helical elements and three loops (D, anti-codon, and T loops).
Source: RNAcentral